GACGAACGCUGGCGGCGUGCUUAACACAUGCCAGUCGAACGGUGAAGGGACCGGUUUUUGCUGGUUCUGGAUGAGUGGCGAACGGGUGAGUAACACGUGAGUAACCUGCCCCCUUCUUCUGGAUAACCGCAUGAAAGUGUGGCUAAUACGGGAUAUUCUGCGCCUGCUGCAUGGUGGGUGUGGGAAAGAUAUUGUUUCGGUGGGGGAUGGGCUCGCGGCCUAUCAGCUUGUUGGUGGGGUGAUGGCCUACCAAGGCGGUGACGGGUAGCCGGCCUGAGAGGGUGGACGGUCACGCUGGGACUGAGACACGGCCCAGACUCCUACGGGAGGCAGCAGUGGGGAAUAUUGCACAAUGGGCGAAAGCCUGAUGCAGCGACGCCGCGUGAGGGAUGGAGGCCUUCGGGUUGUAAACCUCUUUCGCCAGUGAAGCAGGCCUGUCCCUUUUGUGGGUGGGUUGACGGUAGCUGGAUAAGAAGCGCCGGCUAACUACGUG
This 493-nucleotide ribosomal RNA is filed under the name uncultured bacterium. RNAcentral describes it as "partial 16S ribosomal RNA". It matches the Rfam family "Bacterial small subunit ribosomal RNA", at positions 28 to 507 of the family's 1533-position model. The record is from RNAcentral.